AACAGCGCUCACUGUGGCAGUGUUAUCAUGUUUCAUUACAAUAAUUAAGAUUCAGAUUCUACUGUGUAAAUAAUUUGAGUCGUCAACUAUUUCAUGUGUGCAGACAAACACCACCAUAAACCUAUUUUCUAAUAACAAACCAAAUGUACAGAAGAGCUGCAUUAAUGUAAACACUUACCUCAUCUAACAGUCUUCACACAUUUAACUUCCUCUUUUCUAUUAUUGAUAAAGAUAUUUUCCACUGUUAAACAAUCCUUUAAAGGGAAAACAGGGGAGUUUGCAAAAUAGAUUAAAUAUAAAAGUUAUUAAAUGUGAAAAAGGAUUUAGCAAAAUUUAUAUCUACAUUAAGACAGAGGGGCAGAUACAGAUGUCUAAAAGCUGAAUGAACUGAAAUAAUUCAGCAAGAGCAGAGAAAAGGAGUGAUGUCACUAUGAGGAAGUGAGCAGGAAGUUGAUGCUGUAUUCAUCUCUGAGACUGUCUCAUUUGUGAACGUGAGAGCAAGAACAGAGACUGAGAGAGACAGAGAAGCACGAUGGCUGCAUUCACAUGGAUUCAAAUGUCUUCAUUACUGAUACUGAUGCUUCAGUUUAAAGGAACAACUGAGCAACAUCAAACUGUCACAGCUGGACGUGGACAUGAUGUUACUCUGCCUUGUAAAAAUGUGAUACAAGGUCAGCAUAACUGUAUCAGUACUGUCUGGAUCUUCAGUGAUUCAAGCAGCUCAGUAUCAAUCUUUGAAUUUGGGCAGAAUAAAGAAGCCAAACCUAAAUCAGACAGACUGAGUGUUUCUGCAGACUGUUCUCUGGUUAUAAAGAAGGUCACAGAUCAGGAUGUUGGUCGUUACACCUGCAGACAGUUCAAAACAGCAACAGGAUCACAAGAAGGUCCAGACUUUAUGAUUGAUCUGUCUGUUAUUAACAAUGUGAAAACGACUAAAUCAACAACAGUGACGUCCACCACAAAAACCUCAUCAACAACAAAAUCCACAACAUCAACAAUUAAACCAACUGUGAAAAUAACAAACAUAUGGACAACAAGAGCAGAAGUAAAAACAUCAGGAGUUUGGUCAGGUUUUAUCAUCGUUUCUGUGAGUUUAGUAACACUCUUAAUAAUUGUUGUGCUGAUCAUCAGAUGGAAGAAAAUUAAAGAAAACAAAACACAAUGUGGCAACAACACGGGACUGAGCUUAAACCCUGCAGAUACUCAGUCUGGUCCAGGAUCCAGUCAGGACACGGCUGAUGCUGAUGAUGGUGUUUCCUACGUCUCCAUCAGCUUCACCAAGAAGUCCAAGAAUAAAUCCAGGGUAAGAAUUUGAUAUUCAUACAGAUGGUGUUAGUAAUAACAUCACGAUUUUCAAAACUCCUGUCAGGUUAUGUCUUUAAGACGUUUUUGUAUUAUUUUCUUAAAGUCCUGUGGUGAUGAUGAUGAAAGUGACACUGUGACCUACAGCACUGUGAAAGCUUCCUCUUCACCUGCUGGAGUUUCCACUGAUCCCAACAACCUCUACUCCGCCAUCAAUUACCCAAGGAAAUAGGAUGUUAGUCAUGCUAAGUUUUUUAGAUAGAUAGAUAGAUAGAUAGAUAGAUAGAUAGAUAGAUAGAUAGAUAGAUAGAUAGAUAGAUAGAUAGAUAGAUAGAUAGAUGAUAGAUAGAUAGAUAGAUAGAUAGAUAGAUAGAUAGAUAGAUAGAUAGAUAUUUUUCAGUUCACUUAUUAGUUUUGGUAACUCGAGUCAAACAUUAAGUCUGAUUAUGUUUACUUGAGAAUACAAAGACUGCAGGAUUACUUUUUCAUACCACUGCAUGUGCUCAUAGAUUCAGUGGGUUACUUUGAACAAGGUGAACAUUAUUACAUUGAAUGUUAUUAUAUUAAUAUUCACCUUAAGGUUUCUUAAAUCGAUUUAGGUCAUUUUUUAAUUUUUUUUAAGUAGAAUAUAAAAACUAGUAAACAAAAAACUAAACCAACACAAAACACAACGUUACAAAUAGUGUACUAAUGAAAAUAACAUGUCUGUUUGCACAUGCCUAGUUUGUGGGAUUAAUUUCAAUGUUAACCAGAAUCCUUAAAUAGUAGUUACUGUUUCAGGGCUCUGAUGAUGAUUUCUUACUAUGCUGUGCUGACCUGCUUUCCACCUUCAUGGUACAGUAAGCAGAAUCUGAGCUUUUGAAUGCAUGCUAAACCUUUUAUUAUAAAUAUACCAACACUGCAGCAGUGCUUUCAAUGAUAUCCUGUGAUUAUAUGAGUCAAUACAGUGACAUAAGUGUAUGGGUAAAAGUACACUUUGGUCUAUGCACAGACAAAGUAUGUGAUGGAACAGCAUGGUUAGCAGGUGACACAGCAAAUGUUCAGACUCACAUAUGACACUGUUAGAUAAAUGAAAAUAUUCUGCACGUUCAUAUAAAUGAAUUAAUGAAACACUGCACUAAUAUUAACAUUAUAAACGAUCACAAUAGUGAUCUCCCUAUGACUGUUAAAUUCUGGAGCAAUUAGCACUAAAAACAGAACUGUGUAAAUGUUAGACUUUUCAUUAGGCUGACAUGUAGUAGUAAUUACAAAGUGUGAAGUAUAAGUAAACUGUUUUCUUUUCCAGUUUCAUUAGGAAAUUUAUGAUUACUCACUGUUUGCACACCAAACUUUAUGGUUCUUUCCCCCCAGUUUCUUAAAUUCUUAAGGACAAUGAAUUCAAGAAAAACAACAGCAAACAGACAUUUGUCACCAGCUGUCUUCAUGAGAAGUUCACAUAAAGAAGAAGUGCAUGAUAUGUAUGUGGUCAGCAUUAGAGGGUUAAACCUCCACAGCUCUGCAUAUCCUCACCAAACCACUUCCCCUUCAGAAACAAUACAUACAAAAAAAGAGACAGGAAAGAAAAGGUUCAAUGGGACCACCAAUAAAUUUUAAUGGGUUUUGUUGGUUGUUUUUGUGCGUUACUCUUUUCUGGCAUCGUUGUAUUAUACUCAAUUGUAUAUAGCAUUUCUAUUCUAUUUUAUUCUAUUGUAUGUAGUAUUUUAUUUUAUUCUAUUCUAUUAUGUACAGUUCUGCACAGUAUCUUAUUGAUAUCUUAUUCCAGUGGUUUUUUUUCUUCUAAUUUUUCUAUGUAACUUUGCACUGUCCACUGCUGUAACUAAACAAAUUUCCCACACAUGGGACUAAUAAAGGUUAUCUUAUCUUAUCUUAUCUUAUCUUAUCUUAUCUUAUCUUAUCUUAUCUUUUUCCUAAAUGUUAGCACUGGUGACAUGUGCUGCACAUUCCCUAUUUUAUCUUUUAUGAUGGAAAAUAUCUGCUCUAUCUCAGUUAUUGAGCUGGGAGAGGACAUCAGUGACAGUAACUGAUGUUUUAUUACAUAGUAUGUUUUUUUUUAUUUCAUUUUUUGCAGUCUGUCUGACACCUCAGAGCCCAGUAUCAGCUAGCAUUUAAUGUUCUCUCCAGUUAUCCUUCCUGUUCUUUCAUCUUCAAUUUUAAAUAUUUAAUUAAUGUUUGAACAGUUUUGUUUGACCCUUUUCUUAAAUAAUGCAUGAAUGGCUCUCCUUACAUUUCAGCUGUUAUAUGAUUGCAAAUUAUACUCAGACAGCAUUAAAAGAUAAAAUGCUAGUCUGAGUAUAAUUUAAGAUAACAAGAUAAAAUGAUCUAAUAUAUGUUUAGAAUUGUGUGAAACCUCAACAUAGUAUAUUCUCACACUCAUCGAUGUGUUAACCAUUUAUCUGUCAGAGGUUCAUCUGGUCAUCAUGAAACCUCCAGAGCUCUGCUGCUGUUGGACCCACAUUUUCACCAAAACACUUCCUCUUCACUUCUCAGAAAACAACAACAACAAAAAAUAAAAGACUUUAGAGGUACAACGAGGAACCAACAGGUCUCAAAUCACCAACACAUCUCAUUUA
Oreochromis niloticus (Nile tilapia) is the source of this 3872-nucleotide long non-coding RNA. The record is from Ensembl. Lineage: Eukaryota; Metazoa; Chordata; Actinopteri; Cichliformes; Cichlidae.